ACCAUCGAGGACCUGCGGGACAAGAUUCUUGGUGCCACCAUUGAGAACGCCAGGAUUGUCCUGCAGAUCAACAAU
This is a microRNA precursor of Homo sapiens (human), 75 nucleotides long. It matches the Rfam family "mir-492 microRNA precursor family". Lineage: Eukaryota; Metazoa; Chordata; Mammalia; Primates; Hominidae. The record is from Rfam.